CACCUACUCCCUUCGUUCGAAAUUACUUAUCGCCAAAAUGGAUGUAUCUAGACAUCUAGAUACAUCCAUUUUGGCGACAAAUAAUUCCGAACGGAGGGAGUAAAAG
This is a non-coding RNA of Triticum aestivum (bread wheat), 106 nucleotides long. Lineage: Eukaryota; Viridiplantae; Streptophyta; Magnoliopsida; Poales; Poaceae. The record is from Rfam.